This 253-nucleotide ribosomal RNA is filed under the name uncultured bacterium. RNAcentral's name for it is "partial 16S ribosomal RNA". It matches the Rfam family "Bacterial small subunit ribosomal RNA", at positions 524 to 776 of the family's 1533-position model. The record is from RNAcentral.
UACAGAGGUCCCAAGCGUUGUUCGGAUUCACUGGGCGUAAAGGGUGCGUAGGUGGCCAGGUAAGUUCGGUGUGAAAGCUCGGAGCUUAACUCCGAAAUGGCAUUGAAUACUAUCUGGCUAGAGGGUCGGAGGGGAGACUGGAAUUCUCGGUGUAGCAGUGAAAUGCGUAGAUAUCAAGUGGAACACCAGUGGCGAAGGCGAGUCCCUGGACAACUCCUGACACUGAGGCACGAAAGCUAGGGGAGCAAACAGG